This 601-nucleotide ribosomal RNA is filed under the name Nonomuraea sp. YIM M11058. RNAcentral's name for it is "bacterial SSU rRNA". It matches the Rfam family "Bacterial small subunit ribosomal RNA", at positions 95 to 713 of the family's 1533-position model. Lineage: Bacteria; Bacillati; Actinomycetota; Actinomycetes; Streptosporangiales; Streptosporangiaceae. The record is from RNAcentral.
GCGGCGAACGGGUGAGUAACACGUGAGUAACCUGCCCCUGACUCUGGGAUAAGCCCGGGAAACUGGGUCUAAUACCGGAUACGACCACUUCAGGCAUCUGAUGGUGGUGGAAAGAUUUCUUGGUUGGGGAUGGACUCGCGGCCUAUCAGCUUGUUGGUGGGGUAGUGGCCUACCAAGGCGACGACGGGUAGCCGGCCUGAGAGGGCGACCGGCCACACUGGGACUGAGACACGGCCCAGACUCCUACGGGAGGCAGCAGUGGGGAAUAUUGCGCAAUGGGCGGAAGCCUGACGCAGCGACGCCGCGUGGGGGAUGACGGCCUUCGGGUUGUAAACCUCUUUCAGCAGGGACGAAGUUGACGUGUACCUGCAGAAGAAGCGCCGGCUAACUACGUGCCAGCAGCCGCGGUAAUACGUAGGGCGCAAGCGUUGUCCGGAAUUAUUGGGCGUAAAGAGCUCGUAGGUGGCUGGUCGCGUCUGCCGUGAAAGCCCGCAGCUUAACUGCGGGUCUGCGGUGGAUACGGGCCGGCUAGAGGUAGGCAGGGGCAAGUGGAAUUCCUGGUGUAGCGGUGAAAUGCGCAGAUAUCAGGAGGAACACCGGU